AGAGGGUGCUAGCGUUAUUCGGAAUCACUGGGCGUAAAGCGCAUGUAGGGUGGAGUAUCAAGUCAGAUGUGAAAUCCCGGAGCUUAACUUCGGAACUGCAUUUGAAACUGAUAUUCUUGAGUCUGGGAGAGGGAGGCGGAAUUCCAGGUGUAGAGGUGAAAUUCGUAGAUAUCUGGAGGAACACCGGAGGCGUAGGCGGCUUCCUGGUCCAGUACUGACACUGAGAUGCGAAAGCGUGGGGAGCAAACAGGAUUAGAUACCCUGGUAGUCCACGCUGUAAACGAUGUUAACUAGCCGUUUAAGGAUUUGACCCCUUGAGUGGCGUAGCCAACGCGUUAAGUUAACCGCCUGGGGAGUACGGUCGCAAGAUUA
Molecule: ribosomal RNA, 372 nt
Filed under: uncultured organism
Description: partial 16S ribosomal RNA
Rfam family: Bacterial small subunit ribosomal RNA
Source: RNAcentral